Molecule: non-coding RNA, 72 nt
Organism: Phrynosoma platyrhinos (Desert horned lizard)
Lineage: Eukaryota; Metazoa; Chordata; Lepidosauria; Squamata; Phrynosomatidae
Source: the annotation of a GenBank genome assembly
GCCAGUGUGGCGUAGUGGUUUGAGGGUUGGAUUAUGUCUCUAGAGACCAGGGUUCAAUUUCCAGCUUGAGCA